RNAcentral lists this ribosomal RNA (292 nucleotides) under uncultured microorganism. RNAcentral describes it as "partial 16S ribosomal RNA". It matches the Rfam family "Bacterial small subunit ribosomal RNA", at positions 505 to 796 of the family's 1533-position model. The record is from RNAcentral.
GUGCCAGCAGCCGCGGUAAUACGUAGGUGGCAAGCGUUAUCCGGAAUUAUUGGGCGUAAAGCGCGCGCAGGCGGUUUCUUAAGUCUGAUGUGAAAGCCCACGGCUCAACCGUGGAGGGUCAUUGGAAACUGGGGAACUUGAGUGCAGAAGAGAAAAGCGGAAUUCCACGUGUAGCGGUGAAAUGCGUAGAGAUGUGGAGGAACACCAGUGGCGAAGGCGGCUUUUUGGUCUGUAACUGACGCUGAGGCGCGAAAGCGUGGGGAGCAAACAGGAUUAGAUACCCUGGUAGUCC